This 443-nucleotide ribosomal RNA is filed under the name uncultured bacterium. RNAcentral's name for it is "partial 16S ribosomal RNA". It matches the Rfam family "Bacterial small subunit ribosomal RNA", at positions 338 to 795 of the family's 1533-position model. The record is from RNAcentral.
CCUACGGGAGGCAGCAGUGGGGAAUAUUGGGCAAUGGGCGCAAGCCUGACCCAGCAACGCCGCGUGAAGGAAGAAGGCCUUCGGGUUGUAAACUUCUUUUGUCAGGGACGAAGAAAGUGACGGUACCUGACGAAUAAGCCACGGCUAACUACGUGCCAGCAGCCGCGGUAAUACGUAGGUGGCAAGCGUUGUCCGGAUUUACUGGGUGUAAAGGGCGUGCAGCCGGAGAGACAAGUCAGAUGUGAAAUCCGCGGGCUCAACCCGCGAACUGCAUUUGAAACUGUUUCCCUUGAGUAUCGGAGAGGUCAUCGGAAUUCCUAGUGUAGCGGUGAAAUGCGUAGAUAUUAGGAAGAACACCAGUGGCGAAGGCGGAUGACUGGACGACAACUGACGGUGAGGCGCGAAAGCGUGGGGAGCAAACAGGAUUAGAUACCCGUGUAGUC